UGCUGCAAUUCUCAAUAGGUAAGGCCAUCUGGAUAGUAACCUUACUAUUUAGAAAGUUAUUAGAACUGCCCGUGUCGAUGAGAACAGUGAUCGGUUGUUGUUUGAGAAGGCCUCCAACUUUCAUCGUUUCCGGGUUUGAGUAGCCGGCUAGUGCAUGUACCGUAACUUCAGUCGGUUGUGGCUCUUCUUCUGCAUCUUCUUCUUCAUGUUCAAGGCUCUCUUCUAGAUAUUCAAUGACCUCUUCUUCUAUUGG
Molecule: long non-coding RNA, 253 nt
Filed under: Musa acuminata (dwarf banana)
Lineage: Eukaryota; Viridiplantae; Streptophyta; Magnoliopsida; Zingiberales; Musaceae
Description: long non-coding RNA (MACU_LNC008917)
Source: RNAcentral